Molecule: long non-coding RNA, 523 nt
Filed under: Homo sapiens (human)
Lineage: Eukaryota; Metazoa; Chordata; Mammalia; Primates; Hominidae
Description: non-protein coding lnc-FRA10AC1-2:1
Source: RNAcentral
AGAAAAACUAGCUUUGGAGCCAGCCCCGGCUGGAAAAAAUGAAGCUAAAUGAAACUCUCUCCACAAUAUUGGGCUAAAACCUUUUGAUGUUUCUUGCUGAGCCUACCUGGCUAAUGCCAUCAGUGAAAGACAAAUCAGAACAGAUGAAGAAUGUGACUUUCAGGGGAUGAAUGAUCACUGUGAAAAGAACAUGAGAUGCCCUUUGCAGGGACAUGGAUGGAGCUGGAAGCCAUUAUCUUCAGCAAACUAACACAGGAACAGAAAACCAAAUACUGCAUGUUCUCACUUAUAAGUGGGAGCUGAACCAUGAGAACAUGGACACAGGGAGGGGAACAACGCACACUGGGGCCUGUGGAGGGCAGGCGGGGGGAGGGAGAGCAUCAGGAUAAAUAGCUAAUGCAUGCUGGGCUUAAUACCUAGGUGAUGGAUUGAUAGGUGCAGCAAACCACCAUGGCACACAUUUACCUAUGGAGCAAACCUGCACCUCCUGCACAUUUACCCCAGAACUUAAAAUAAAAUAAAA